GCCAGGUGUGGUGGCGGAUGCCUGUAGUCCUAGCUAUCCGGGAGGCUGAGACUGGAGGAUCUCUUGAGUCCAGGAGUUCUGGGCUGUAGUGCACUAUGCCGACUGGGUGUCCACACUAAGUUUGGCAUCAAUAUGGUGACCUCCUGGAAGCAAGGGACCAGCAGGUUGCCUAAGGAGGGGUGAAUCGGCCCAGAUCGGAAACGGAGGUCAAAACUCCAGUGCUGAUCAGUAGUGGGAUGGUGCCUGUGAAUAGCCACUGCACUCCAGCCUGGGCAACACAGCGAGACCCCAUCUCU
Molecule: signal recognition particle RNA, 296 nt
Filed under: Aotus nancymaae (Ma's night monkey)
Lineage: Eukaryota; Metazoa; Chordata; Mammalia; Primates; Aotidae
Description: Metazoan signal recognition particle RNA (ENSANAG00000013733.1)
Rfam family: Metazoan signal recognition particle RNA
About the family: The signal recognition particle (SRP) is a universally conserved ribonucleoprotein.
Source: RNAcentral